AGGCUGCACUCAAGGAUCCAGAAGUCCACAUGUGACCCCAAGGCCACAGGUUCCCCACCCCGGCAUGAUGUUUCCCUCUACACAAUCAGAACUGUUGUCUUAAUGUCUUAUUGACUGGGCAAGAGACCAGAGCCCCUGCUUCUUAAAAUUACUCAUAUUUGAAGCUUUUAAAUAUAUUUUUCUUCCUCUUUACAGGGUUAAAUGAUGAUAUUUUGAUCCAAGACUUGGGUUUGAGAUUAGUUUGUGUUCUUUUAAAACACUUCACAUUGACAAAACUAUUGGCCAGAAACCCAAGCUGGAACAGCUGUGCUGGAUCAGACCUUUGACACAUGGGACAGCAGAUUUACGUAGAGCAGAAGACCUGCGGCACCCAUUGGUUCCCUGAGUUGGGGCCCACAGCCUCCCACCAGGGAUCUCCUGCAGCCAGCACCAGCCCUGCACAUUUUGCUCAAGUCUUUGCCAGCCUGCUUUCCCUCUCAUUAUAGUAUUUUAAAGAUGGCCCUGGUUUUGCCUUUAAAAAAAAAUGUUCAUACACUACCUGGUUUCUUUACCAAAAUGAAACUAUAUGUAUAA
Molecule: non-coding RNA, 573 nt
Organism: Microcebus murinus (gray mouse lemur)
Lineage: Eukaryota; Metazoa; Chordata; Mammalia; Primates; Cheirogaleidae
Source: RefSeq, a predicted model, not a curated record